GGGCUCGUAGCUCAGUGGCCAGAGCGCUCGGUUCACAUCCGAGAGGUCAUCCGUUCAAAUCGGAUCGAGCCCACCA
This 76-nucleotide transfer RNA is filed under the name Candidatus Saccharimonadota bacterium. RNAcentral describes it as "tRNA-Val". It matches the Rfam family "tRNA". Rfam says of the family: Transfer RNA (tRNA) molecules are approximately 80 nucleotides in length. Their secondary structure includes four short double-helical elements and three loops (D, anti-codon, and T loops). Further hydrogen bonds mediate the characteristic L-shaped molecular structure. tRNAs have two regions of fundamental functional importance: the anti-codon, which is responsible for specific mRNA codon recognition, and the 3' end, to which the tRNAs corresponding amino acid is attached (by aminoacyl-tRNA synthetases). tRNAs cope with the degeneracy of the genetic code in two manners: having more than one tRNA (with a specific anti-codon) for a particular amino acid; and 'wobble' base-pairing, i.e. permitting non-standard base-pairing at the 3rd anti-codon position. The record is from RNAcentral. Lineage: Bacteria; Candidatus Saccharimonadota.